This 400-nucleotide ribosomal RNA is filed under the name uncultured eukaryote. RNAcentral describes it as "partial 18S ribosomal RNA". It matches the Rfam family "Eukaryotic small subunit ribosomal RNA", at positions 592 to 976 of the family's 1831-position model. The record is from RNAcentral.
CAAUAGCGUAUAUUAAAGUUGUUGCAGUUAAAAAGCUCGUAGUUGGAUUUCUGAUAUCUUUUUUCUUCUUUUCUUGUUUACUAAAUUGUAAAUGUAAAGUUUGAUUGGAUAUCUUCCUUCCCUGUUAAUUUGGUUUUUAAGCAUUAACUUGUUUAUGGAUCAAAUGGGGAUCUUUUACUGUGAAAAAAUUAGAGUGUUCAAAGCAAGUAUUUAUUUUCUUGAAUACAUUAGCAUGGAAUAAUAAGAUAGGACUUUGGUUAUAUUUUGUUGGUUUGCAAACUGAGGUAAUGAUUAAUAGGAACAUAUUGGGGAUAUCUGUAUUUUUUAGUCAGAGGUGAAAUUCUUGGAUUUAAGAAAGACAAACUACAGCGAAANCANNNAUCAAGGAUGUUUUCAUNGA